CCUACGGGAGGCAGCAGUGAGGAAUAUUGCGCAAUGGACGAAAGUCUGACGCAGCGACGCCGCGUGGAGGAUGAAGGUUUUAGGAUCGUAAACUCCUGUUAAGUGGGAAGAAAACUUGAGCUCUAACAUAGCUCAAGUCUGACGGUACCACUAGAGAAAGCACCGGCUAACUUCGUGCCAGCAGCCGCGGUAAUACGAGGGGUGCAAACGUUAUUCGGAUUAACUGGGCGUAAAGGGUGUGUAGACGGUAUAUUAAGUUCGUUGUUAAAUCUUCCGGCCUAACCGGAAGCUCGCGAUGGAAACUGAUAUGCUUGAGGAUGGAAGAGAGAAGCGGAAUUCUCGGAGUAGCGGUAAAAUGCGUAGAUCUCGAGAGGAACACCGAUGGCGAAGCCAGCUUCUUGGUCCACUCCUGACGUUGAGACACGAAAGCAUGGGUAGCAAACAGGAUUAGAUACCCUGGUAGUCCAUGCUGUAAACGAUGAUCACUGGAUGUCAGCUUCGCUUUGCGAAGUUGGUAUCGAAGCUAACGCGUUAAGUGAUCCGCCUGGGAAGUACGGUCGCAAGAUUAAAACUCAAAGGAAUUGACGGGG
RNAcentral lists this ribosomal RNA (590 nucleotides) under uncultured bacterium. RNAcentral describes it as "bacterial SSU rRNA". It matches the Rfam family "Bacterial small subunit ribosomal RNA", at positions 338 to 918 of the family's 1533-position model. The record is from RNAcentral.